CCUACGGGUGGCAGCAGUGAGGAAUAUUGGUCAAUGGACGAGAGUCUGAACCAGCCAAGUAGCGUGAAGGAUGACUGCCCUAUGGGUUGUAAACUUCUUUUAUAUGGGAAUAAAAUGUUCCACGUGUGGGAUUUUGUAUGUACCAUAUGAAUAAGGAUCGGCUAACUCCGUGUCAGCAGCCGCGGUAAUACGGAUGUUCCGAGCGUUAUCCGGAUUUAUUGGGUUGAAAGGGAGCGUAGGUGGAUUGUUAAGUCAGUUGUGAAAGUUUGGGGCUCAACCGUAGAAUUGCAGUGGAAACUGGGAGGCGGGAGUGCAGUAGAGGUGGGCGGAAUGCGUGGUGUAGCGGUGAAAUG
RNAcentral lists this ribosomal RNA (353 nucleotides) under uncultured bacterium. Its description in RNAcentral is "partial 16S ribosomal RNA". It matches the Rfam family "Bacterial small subunit ribosomal RNA", at positions 338 to 688 of the family's 1533-position model. The record is from RNAcentral.